RNAcentral lists this ribosomal RNA (468 nucleotides) under uncultured bacterium. Its description in RNAcentral is "partial 16S ribosomal RNA". It matches the Rfam family "Bacterial small subunit ribosomal RNA", at positions 28 to 507 of the family's 1533-position model. The record is from RNAcentral.
GACGAACGCUGGCGGCGUGCUUAACACAUGCAAGUCGAACGGAAAGGCCCUGCUUUUGUGGGGUGCUCGAGUGGCGAACGGGUGAGUAACACGUGAGUAACCUGCCCUUGACUUUGGGAUAACUUCAGGAAACUGGGGCUAAUACCGGAUAGGAGCUCCUGCUGCAUGGUGGGGGUUGGAAAGUUUCGGCGGUUGGGGAUGGACUCGCGGCUUAUCAGCUUGUUGGUGGGGUAGUGGCUUACCAAGGCUUUGACGGGUAGCCGGCCUGAGAGGGUGACCGGGCCAAUUUGGACAGAGAUUCAGGCCCGAACUCCACGGGGAGGCAAAGGGGGGGAAAUUGGACAAUGGGCUGAAGGCCUAUGCAGCCAAGCCGGGCGGGGGGUGACGGCCCUUGGGGUUUUAAACCCUUUUGCCCGUGGAGAAAGGUGGGUGGACGUAAUGGGUAAAGAAGCACCGGCUAACUACGUG